This is a small nucleolar RNA of Puntigrus tetrazona (Sumatra barb), 320 nucleotides long. NCBI's taxonomy places the organism in Eukaryota, Metazoa, Chordata, Actinopteri, Cypriniformes, Cyprinidae. The record is from RefSeq and is a predicted model, not a curated record.
GCCCAGUGAUGAGACCAAGGCGAAUAUGAGCCCACUGAAUUAGAGUCUGAGCUCUCCUGAGUUCCUAUUGGCUGGUAAUCUUGGCUGGGCAGUGAAGAUUUGCUGUCUUGCUGUAAGGGCCUGCCUACAUUAAAGAACCCCCUUUCUUUGAAACUUCUAUCCUUUUGAAGUAAUGGGAAAGAAAAAGGAUGGGGCUUAUAGUGUGUGUGUGUGUGUGUGUGUGUGUGCGUGCGUGCGUGCGUGAGAAGGGUCACAGGUUGAGUCUGUUCUCUGCAGUAAUUCUUUGGGCAUUGAGCUCUCUCUUUGGUAAUCUGAGGGCA